AGCAGUUGGUGUUUACUUGUUCAGGCAAAAAGGCUAUUGAUGCAUGAGUAAAUUUCAGGUGAAGAGAGAGAGAGAGAGAGAGAGAGGAAAGGCCAGUAACAAGAAAAUUGGUAAAUUUACAUUACCCACGAUGUCGAUAAAUUCCCUAUUUUCCGCAGUAUACGUAUCCUUCUUCGAACGUGAUGCCAGUUUUCUAUGGAAACUAGAUGCUUCUGCACUCUAGUUUUCGUAGUGCUGAUUAUUAUGAAGCACGGAAACAAACGAGUAGCAGAAAAACACUCAUUUGCUAGAUGCGUGUAAUCUAACGAACAUUCACAUACCAGGAAAAAAAGAAAAA
Molecule: long non-coding RNA, 337 nt
Organism: Syzygium oleosum
Lineage: Eukaryota; Viridiplantae; Streptophyta; Magnoliopsida; Myrtales; Myrtaceae
Exons: 2
Source: RefSeq, a predicted model, not a curated record